Sus scrofa (pig) is the source of this 1060-nucleotide non-coding RNA. NCBI's taxonomy places the organism in Eukaryota, Metazoa, Chordata, Mammalia, Artiodactyla, Suidae. The record is from RefSeq and is a predicted model, not a curated record.
CUCUUAACCCAUUGAGCCACAAUGGGAACUCUCAAUCUUCUCUUAGCUCAAGGGAAUGGAGGGGAAAAUAGUUUGCAUAUAUUGACAAGUUGCUUAUUAUAAUUAUCAACUUGAAGCAUUUGGUGGUGUGUUUUCUCAUCUGUCACUGUCAGUAUAUUCUGAUAGGUGACUUCAAAAUAUCUUCCUAAAGAGCUGAUCUCAUUUCUUUUUGCCAAACUCCCACAUGCAAUGAACACAGAGUAAAUCAAAAACAAACUCUAGCCCCAAGGGAACUGUGUAGUGUUAUAGUUAGGUCACAGGCUCCAGCCAGGGAUAGAAACUGAGAGUUUUGGUGAGCAAACUGAGCAAAUAAGACCCAAGGUCAGGACACAGGGGGCAGACACUGUUGCCACACAAAAUCCUAGCACCCGAGGUCACAGCAGAGUCAAUGGAGAAAAUGCCCGGGUACAUGGGCAUUUAGCAGACCAGGAAAGGACUGAAAAGCAGAUCUGAACAGCAGAAAGUGUGGAGAAGAGAUUGGAGUGAGGCAAUACAUGGGAGCAAGACUGCAGGCUGGACGAUGGAUCAGGAAUUCAUUGCAAUAAUCAGGCCCAGGGAUAACCAGGACCUACUGACAGCUACUACAUGAGUGAGCUCGGAAGUCGGUCCUAACUCAGCUGUAGCCUUCUGGAGACUGCAGUCCCUCUGGACAGCUUAACUGCAACUUCAUGAGAGACCUUGAACCUAAACUACCAGGGACCCAAAUUUCUGACCCACAGAAACUAUGAGACAAAGUUUUUUGCUAUAAGUUGGUAAAUUUGUUAUUUACCAAUUUUUGGGGGUAAUUUGUUAUACAUACAUGGAUAACUAAUUCAUCAGAUUAAUGAAAGUGAAGGGAAGGUGGUGAUCGGUUUCCAGGACCCAGCACAGUUGGAUAACUUUCUCCAGCAGCCCUAGACAACUCCAGACAAUAUGCUUGUCGACUUUAUAUGCCAUUGAUAUUAUGCGAUGUCCAAUAAUAUCUUUUUUUAAUAGUAUUUUUUAUUUUUUUCUUUCUAAUUUUGCUGUUUUAAGGCUGUGG